AUGGAGAAGCUUGUGAGAAAAGUCUUGGCAAAUCCAUUAGGAGUUGUUAUGCAAUUUUUUAAGAAAGAUACCAGGGCCAAGGGGCGCAGUCAGACUACUAUUACCGUUGUGUGGGUACAAGUUGUCCUUUUCAUCCUGCAAAUACUGUGCAUACCGGUCCUGGUUGUGGUUCUAAUUGCAGGGACCCUUUAUGUGUCUGGGCCUGUCGCCUGCGUCGUGCUGUCACUAUGGCGCCUACGGCAGCACAAUUAUGGCAAUACCCCAGGAGAUGACAGCAAAGCGAACCUGGUGCCAGCACUGACCAUAUUCUACAGUUUGGUUAUUUUCCAAGGCGUGCUCUACUUCUUAUGGCGAUUGAUAGAGGGCGCGGCGAUGCUGGUUGUCGUUUCAUUCUGUUUAGAUUGCAAGUUACCACCAAAGUGGGGCACCAUAACAGUUGUAGAUUAUCUCCAUGAUAUCCGAGCAAAAUGCUGGCAGGACCCUACAUCCAUACGUGGUAGGAAUUUUAUCAACUAUGUUGUCGAUUUGGUGAAUUCGGAAUCGGAGAAAGACUGCCUCUCAGGAGCAAGGAUGCUCCACAGCUUCAUUGAGCAGAAGGCAGAUGUAAGGUCCCUGCUACUCCCCUCCAGACCAAAGAUUAAGAAGCUGAUCGAUACGCUAGAAUGGAGCAGCAGCAGUCGAGAGCUCAGGGAGGUGGUUGCCAGGAUCAUUGCAUACCUUGCUGGUGACAUCCAUUUGUCCCAGUUCCCUGGGGCAACAUACUACAUAUCCUCCCUGCUCGAUACCACUCUGCCUUACUGGAACAACCAACAAGGACUCCAUCAUUAUUCACCAGUUACUGAGUCAAGAGAGGAACAUGGCAAAAAAAAAGGAUGCUGGUGA
This 882-nucleotide ribosomal RNA is filed under the name Triticum aestivum (bread wheat). RNAcentral describes it as "partial small subunit ribosomal RNA". The record is from RNAcentral. Lineage: Eukaryota; Viridiplantae; Streptophyta; Magnoliopsida; Poales; Poaceae.